UAUCGCGUAAAUUAACGCAGAUAGUGGAUGCCUAGGCUUGUUUGGCCGAAGAAGGACGCAUAAGAUCGCGAAAGUCGUCGGGGAGCUGUCAUAAAGCUAUGAUCCGGCGGUGUCCGAAUGGGGCAACCCCUCUAGUAGAAAUACUAGGGAUCCGACUAUUUAUAGUCAGGAAGGUAAGCUGGGGAACUGAAAUAUCUUAGUACCCAGAGGAAAAUAAAACGUAAGUGAUUCCCUUAGUAAGCGACGAGCGAACAGGGAUUAGCCCAAACCCGGGUACGCCCGGGGGUUGUAGGACCUCAAUGUGGAUAAUUUUUAGAUAGUAGAAUAGUGUGGAAUAAUUAACCAUAGAACGUGAAAGUCGUGUAUAUAAAAUCUAGAAAUGAUCCUAGAGUGUUCCUGAAUAGGUUGGGAGACGGCAAACUCCCUUCUGAAUCUGGGGUGACCACACUCCAAGGCUAAAUACCAAACAAGACCGAUAGCGAACGAG
This 487-nucleotide ribosomal RNA is filed under the name Patescibacteria group bacterium. Its description in RNAcentral is "partial 23S ribosomal RNA". It matches the Rfam family "Bacterial large subunit ribosomal RNA", at positions 1 to 498 of the family's 2925-position model. The record is from RNAcentral.